Transfer RNA from Volvox carteri f. nagariensis, 73 nucleotides. It matches the Rfam family "tRNA". Rfam says of the family: Transfer RNA (tRNA) molecules are approximately 80 nucleotides in length. NCBI's taxonomy places the organism in Eukaryota, Viridiplantae, Chlorophyta, Chlorophyceae, Chlamydomonadales, Volvocaceae. The record is from Rfam.
GUCACCGUAGUCUAGGCGGUUAGGAUACGUGGCUUUCACCCACGCGACCCGGGUUCGAGUCCCGGCGGUGACA